Mirounga angustirostris (Northern elephant seal) is the source of this 5441-nucleotide long non-coding RNA. RefSeq lists it as uncharacterized. Lineage: Eukaryota; Metazoa; Chordata; Mammalia; Carnivora; Phocidae. The record is from RefSeq and is a predicted model, not a curated record. The transcript has 8 exons.
AAUGCUUGGUAUGGUCAAUCUUUUUAAUUAUAGCCGUUCUCAUGGGGAUGUAGUGGUAUCAAAUUAUAGUUUUAAUUUACAAUUCCCUUAUGAUGUUGAGCAUAUUUUUAUGUGCUUAUUUGCUAUUUCUAUAUGUUUGGUGAGGUGUUUAUUCAUUUGGUGAAGUGUCUACAUGUUUGGUGAAGUGUCUAUUCUCUAUUUAUUGUAGUGUAUUUUUUUUCUAAUUGACUUUCUAUAUAGAUUUUUUAUAUUCUAGAUACAGGUACUUUGUCAGAUAUGUAAUUUGCAAGUAUUUUCUCCCACUUAGUGCCUCAUUUUUUCAUUCUCUUCACAGUGUCUUAAGAAGAGCAUUUUUUAACUUGGAGGAAGUCCAAUUUAUGUAUUAGUUCACUUAUAGAUUGUAGUUUUGGUAUCUCUUCUAUGAAACCUUCACCUAACUCAAGAUCACAAGGACUCUUUCCUAUGUUUCUUCUAGAAGACUGACAACUUUAGGAUAUAUAUUUAGGUCUGUGAUCCAUUUUGAGUGGACUUUUAUAUGUAGUGUGAUAUAUGGGUCACAAUUGAUAUUUGUGUAUAUGAUAUCCACUUGUUUCAGCACCAUUUGUUGAUAAGACUCCCAUUUCUCCACUGAAUUGCUUUUGCCCCUUUUCCAAAAAUCAGUUGUCCAUAUGUGUGUGGGUCUAUUUCUGGACUCUAUUCUUUUCAGUCUACUUGUCUACCUUGAUUCCAAUACCACACUGUCUUGAUUACGGUAGGUUUCUGAGUCUUAAAAUCCGUAAGUGUUCAUCCUCCAAUUUGAUUCUUUUUCGGAGUUGUUUUUCAUGGCCUAGAUCCUCUGCGUUUCCAUAUAAACUUCAGAAUUGGCCUGCCAAUUUCUUUAAAAAUAUUUGCUAGGAUUUUUAUUGGAUUGCAUUGAAUAUGUGGAUCUAUAUUUAGGGAGAAGUGACACUGAAAUAAUCCUGAAUCUUCCAACCCACAAAGACACUUGUCUCUCCAUUUAUUUAGGUCUUCUUUAAUUUUUCUGAGCAAUGUUUUGAAGUGUUUAGUGAACAGGCUUUGCACAUCUGUGGACAGAUGAUCUAAUUGAUGAAUUCUGCGUUCUUGAGUGGUGAGACAGAGGAAGGAGAGACCAUGUACAUAUAUAAGUAUGUAUGUUUGUAUGUAUGUGUAUAUUGUGGAAGCUGCCAGGAAUCUUUAUUGUGAGGAAUACUUCAGGUUAAUUACUUUACUGUGGUCAUGUCAGUCGUGUUCACUUCCUAACACAUAAUAGGAAGCAAAUCACAGUGGUUGUUUUUUUCCACCUUCAUUUGGCCAGCCUGGUUACCAUGGCGACUCAGUGACUGCUGUGGUAUCUGGUGGAGAUUGAGCAUUGUUUUGUAAUUCUAGCCUGAAUCCCUUACUAGGAUCAUGGUUGUCAAGUGUUGCUUUUCUUAUUUCCUCAUUCCUUCCAGGUUUAUUAAUUGAAAUUUGGCUGGAGGUAGGGCUUUCUCUUCUCCCUGUUUUUUUUUUUUUUUUUAAUUUAUAUCAGUAUGACUCAUAGAUUCCUAUUUUGCAAAAAGAGUUACCAUCUGAUGCUAUAAUUAUUUUUUUUAUGCUCAAAUGUCUCAGAAUUGGCCAAUGGAAGCCCCUUCAAGUUGACUUGUGUCUCUUCGACACUUUCUUAGAAUUUUUUCUUUCUUUUUUUUUUUUAAAGAUUUUAUUUAUUUAUUUGACAGAGAGAGAGGGAGAGAGAAAGUGAGUACAAGCAGGGAGAGCGGCAGGCAGAGGGAGAAGCAGACUCUCUGCUGAGCAGGGAGCCUGAUGUGGGACUCGAUCAUGACUUGAGCCAAAGGCAGACGCUUAACUGACUGAGCCACCCAGGAGCCCCUAGAAUUCUUUCAACAUUUACUUUGUUCCCUGAGGCUAUCUUUUAAUCUGUAGAAAGAAAAUUAUGAUGCCCAACUCAGCAUCACUUUGAGGAACUGAAGAGAAAAUAACAACCUACAGCAUGUGGCGUCUAGUAGGUCCUCGGUGAAUGCUAUUUCUCCAUUCCAAUUUUGCCUCCUUCAUUCUGUCAAGGCAGUGUUUCUGACAUGAACAUCAUAGCAUGAGUACCGGAGACAAUACUUGGACAUGGAGCAGCAAGCAGGGAUGAGCACACAUUUCCAUGAUGUGAGAGCUUCAUUGUCACUGCUGUGUACGGGAGGAGGCUGUGGGAUGGAGCUGGGGAAGAGGCACAGCAUCAUUGGACAGCUUCCAGUGACCUGAGUGGGGACAGGCAAGCACAUGCUCACCCAUUGCCCCUGUGUUUCAUGUGCUCUCCCUUUCUCUCACUUUAUUCUUUAUUCCAUGUGCUGUCUGAUCCCCUGACUCUCCUGGCUAAUGGAGCAGCAGACAAGGCUGUGGACUCUGAGCCCCUGAAAUAGGAGCCAAUAGAGAAGAACAAAGUGUGAUGUUGAGUGUGCUAGACUGGGUCCUAGAACAAGAGUGAAGAGAUUAAGAUCCUAUCAUUGGGACCAUUUAGUGAAAGCAGAGCAGUGUGUGAACUGUGAGCCCCAGAAACAGGAAACAAUAGAGAAGAACCAGGUGUGAUGUCCAGUGUGCUAGACAAAUUGCUGGAACAAGAGCGACAAGAUCAGGGUCCCAUCAUUGGGAUACUUUAGGCAAGUGAUGGAUACAGAGGGAUUGUUCCAGUUAAGUGAAAAUCCAGAAAGCUGGCUGAUCCCAUGAGGUCAAGCUCCCAAUCUCCAUCCUCCCUCCCCUGUGUGGAGCCCCCUGGUCUGAGACUCAGAGCUGCCAUCCUGGAUCUCACCACCAGACUGUUUCUGAAAGUGGAGUUUGAUGAUGGUUCUUUGGCGCCAAAUUGUGGAGAAAGCCUGAACUGCUGCUUGAACCUUAAGGAAGAGGAAAAUGGGAGGGAUGGUCUGUGACACAAACCCACCACACAGAACUUGCUGGAGUUUCCAUUUUGAAAUGGAAAGUGCAGAAUUCCUUGACUAAACCAUAUUGGGGUGCUCUCCCUGGACACUACAUAUAAGUCUAAUCAUACAAUAUCUAAGUCUAAUCAUACAAUAUCUGGUCUUUUGCAUUUUUGACUCCUUUCGCUUAGCUUACUAUUUUCAAGGUUUAUCCAUUUUAUUUUUUAUUUAUUUACUUAUGUAUUUCUCUAUGUAUUUAUGUAUGUAUGUAUGAAUGUAUGUAUAUAUUUUACACCUUGAGGCAAUUCUUGAGAGUGGAGUUUGAUGAUGGUGGUUCUUUGCGCCACCUUGUGGCAAAAGCCUUAACUGCUGCUAAAACACUACAGAACAGGAAAAUGGAAGGGAUGGUCUGUACACAAACCCGCCAGACAGAUCUUUCUCAGGUUAAAGUGGAAAGUGUGGAAUUUCUUGACUAAAGCAUAUUGGAGGGCUCAUUCUAGACAUGGCAUAUAAAUAGAAUCAUUUUUCUAGGCAAAUAUAGACAUAUUUGAAGUCAGUUGCCUUUUUGUCUCCUUUCACUUAGCUUAAUAUUUUCAAAGUUCAUCCAUGUUAUUUAUUUAUUUAGGUAGUUAGUUAGUUACUAUCUUGCUUAUUUACCUAUCUAUCUAUGUAUAUGUAUAUAUGUAUGUAUGUAUUUUACCCUUUACAGAAAACUCUUUGAGAGUGGAAUUGAUGAUGGUGGUUUUUUGGCGCCACCUUGUGUCAAAGCCUGAACUCCUGCUUGAACACUAAGGAACAGGAAAAUAUGAGGGAUGGUCUGUGACACAAACCAACAAGGCAGAUUUUCUGGAGGUCAAAAUGGAAAACUGUUUUUGAAAGUGGAGUUUGAUGAUAGUGGUUCUUUGGCACCAAAUUGUGACGAAAGCCUGAACUGCUGCUUGAACCCUAAGGAAGAAGAAAAUGGGAGGGAUGGUCUGUGACACAAACCCACCACACUGAACUUGCUGGACAAAAUGGAAACAGAGGAAUUCCUUGUCUUGCAAAAUUCUUAGAAGUGAAGUAUGAUUAUGGUGGUUCCUUGGCACCACCUUGUGGCUACAGUCUGAACUGCAACUUGAAUCCUGAGUAACCGCAAAAUGGGAGAGAUGGUCUGUGACACAAACCCACCAGACAGAACUUUCUCAUGUUAAAAUGCAAAGUGGGGAAUUCCUUGACUAAACCAUAUUCAUGUGCUCUCUCUGGACACUACAUGCAAUUCUUGAGUGUGUUUAAUGAUGGUGAAUCUUUGGCACCACCUUGAGGCAAAAGCUUAAACUACUGCUUGAGCGCUAAGGAACAGGAAAUGGGAGGAAUGGCCUGUGACACAACUCCACCACACAAAACUUUGUGGGGGUCAAAAUGGAAAGUGGGGAAUUCAUUGACUAAACCAUAUUGGUGGGCUCUCUCUGGACACUACAUAUAAGUGGAAUCAUACAAUAUGUAGACUUUUGCAUUUUUUCUCCUUUCACUUAGCUGAAUAUUUUCAAGGUUCAACCAUAUCAUUUAUUUAUUUAUUUAUUUAUUUAUGUCUUGCAGAAAAUAGUUGAGAAUGGAGUUUGAUGAUGGUGGUUCUUUGGCGCCACCUUGUGGCAAAACUCUGAACUGCUGCUUGCACACUAAGGAACUGGAAAAUGGGAGGGAUGGGCUGUGACACAACCCUACCACAUAAAACUUUCUGCAGUUUGAAAUGGAAAGUGGGGAAUUCCUUGACUAAUCCCUAUUGGUGGGCUUUCUCUGGAUACUGCAUAUAAUUGAAAUCAUUUUUAUAGACAAAUAUAGACAUAUUUGUGGUCUUUUGCAUUUUGACUCCUUUCACUCAACUUACUAUUUUCAAAGUUCAUCCAUUGUAUUUUUAUUGAUUUACUUAUGUAUUUAUGUAUGUAUUUAUGUAUGUAUGUAUGUAUGUAUUUUACACUGUGCCGACAAUUCUUGAGAGUGGAGUUUGAUGAUGGUGGUUCUUUGGCGCCACCUUGUGGCAAAAACCUGAACUUCUGCUUGCAAACAAAGGAACGGGAAAAUGGGAGGGAUGGUCUGUGACACAACCCCACCACACAGAACUUUGUGGAGGUCAAAAUGGAAAGUUGGGAAUUCCAUAUUGGUGGGAUCUCUCUGGACACUACAUAUAAGUGGAAUCAUACAAUAUGUGGUGUUUUGCAUUUUGGUCUCCUUUCACUUAGCUGAAUAUUUUCAAGGUACAUUGAUUUUAUUUAUUUAUUCGUUUAUUUAUUUAUUUUGUACUUAUUUAUUUAUAUAUUAUACAGCAUGCAAAAAAUACUUGAAUGGAGUUUGAUGAUGUUGGGUCUCUUGCGCCACCUUGUGGCAAAAGCCUGAACUGCUGCUUGAACACUAAGGAACAGGAAAAUGGGAGGGAUGGUCUGUGACACAAACCCACCACAUAAAUCUUUCUGGAGUUCAAAAUGGAAAGUGGGGAAUUCCGUGACUAAAGCAUAUUGGAGGGCUCAUUCUAGACAUGGCGUAUAAAUGGAAUGAUUUUUAUAUACAAAU